This 1470-nucleotide ribosomal RNA is filed under the name uncultured bacterium. RNAcentral's name for it is "bacterial SSU rRNA". It matches the Rfam family "Bacterial small subunit ribosomal RNA". The record is from RNAcentral.
GACGAACGCUGGCGGCGUGCCUAAUACAUGCAAGUAGAACGCUGAAGAGAGGAGCUUGCUCUUCUUGGAUGAGUUGCGAACGGGUGAGUAACGCGUAGGUAACCUGCCUUGUAGCGGGGGAUAACUAUUGGAAACGAUAGCUAAUACCGCAUAACAAUGGAUGACACAUGUCAUUUAUUUGAAAGGGGCAAUUGCUCCACUACAAGAUGGACCUGCGUUGUAUUAGCUAGUAGGUGAGGUAAUGGCUCACCUAGGCGACGAUACAUAGCCGACCUGAGAGGGUGAUCGGCCACACUGGGACUGAGACACGGCCCAGACUCCUACGGGAGGCAGCAGUAGGGAAUCUUCGGCAAUGGGGGCAACCCUGACCGAGCAACGCCGCGUGAGUGAAGAAGGUUUUCGGAUCGUAAAGCUCUGUUGUAAGUCAAGAACGGGUGUGAGAGUGGAAAGUUCACACUGUGACGGUAGCUUACCAGAAAGGGACGGCUAACUACGUGCCAGCAGCCGCGGUAAUACGUAGGUCCCGAGCGUUGUCCGGACUUAUUGGGCGUAAAGCGAGCGCAGGCGGUUUGAUAAGUCUGAAGUUAAAGGCUGUGGCUCAACCAUAGUUCGCUUUGGAAACUGUCAAACUUGAGUGCAGAAGGGGAGAGUGGAAUUCCAUGUGUAGCGGUGAAAUGCGUAGAUAUAUGGAGGAACACCGGUGGCGAAAGCGGCUCUCUGGUCUGUAACUGACGCUGAGGCUCGAAAGCGUGGGGAGCGAACAGGAUUAGAUACCCUGGUAGUCCACGCCGUAAACGAUGAGUGCUAGGUGUUGGAUCCUUUCCGGGAUUCAGUGCCGCAGCUAACGCAUUAAGCACUCCGCCUGGGGAGUACGACCGCAAGGUUGAAACUCAAAGGAAUUGACGGGGGCCCGCACAAGCGGUGGAGCAUGUGGUUUAAUUCGAAGCAACGCGAAGAACCUUACCAGGUCUUGACAUCCCGAUGCUAUUUCUAGAGAUAGAAAGUUACUUCGGUACAUCGGUGACAGGUGGUGCAUGGUUGUCGUCGGCUCGUGUCGUGAGAUGUUGGGUUAAGUCCCGCAACGAGCGCAACCCCUAUUGUUAGUUGCCAUCAUUCAGUUGGGCACUCUAGCGAGACUGCCGGUAAUAAACCGGAGGAAGGUGGGGAUGACGUCAAAUCAUCAUGCCCCUUAUGACCUGGGCUACACACGUGCUACAAUGGUUGGUACAACGAGUUGCGAGUCGGUGACGGCGAGCUAAUCUCUUAAAGCCAAUCUCAGUUCGGAUUGUAGGCUGCAACUCGCCUACAUGAAGUCGGAAUCGCUAGUAAUCGCGGAUCAGCACGCCGCGGUGAAUACGUUCCCGGGCCUUGUACACACCGCCCGUCACACCACGAGAGUUUGUAACACCCGAAGUCGGUGAGGUAACCUUUUGGAGCCAGCCGCCUAAGGUGGGACAGAUGAUUGGGGUG